Molecule: ribosomal RNA, 376 nt
Filed under: uncultured bacterium
Lineage: Bacteria
Description: bacterial SSU rRNA
Rfam family: Bacterial small subunit ribosomal RNA
Source: RNAcentral
ACUCCUACGGGAGGCAGCAGUAGGGAAUCUUCCACAAUGGACGAAAGUCUGAUGGAGCAACGCCGCGUGAGUGAAGAAGGGUUUCGGCUCGUAAAACUCUGUUGUUAAAGAAGAACAUAUCUGAGAGUAACUGUUCAGGUAUUGACGGUAUUUAACCAGAAAGCCACGGCUAACUACGUGCCAGCAGCCGCGGUAAUACGUAGGUGGCAAGCGUUGUCCGGAUUUAUUGGGCGUAAAGCGAGCGCAGGCGGUUUUUAAGUCUGAUGUGAAAGCCUUCGGCUCAACCGAAGAAGUGCAUCGGAAACUGGGAAACUUGAGUGCAGAAGAGGACAGUGGAACUCCAUGUGUAGCGGUGAAAUGCGUAGAUAUAUGGAAG